This 529-nucleotide ribosomal RNA is filed under the name uncultured bacterium. RNAcentral's name for it is "bacterial SSU rRNA". It matches the Rfam family "Bacterial small subunit ribosomal RNA", at positions 777 to 1304 of the family's 1533-position model. The record is from RNAcentral.
AAUAGAUACCCUGGUAGUCCACGCCGUAAGCGAUGAAUGCUAGGUGUUAGGGGUUUCGAUACCCUUGGUGCCGAAGUUAACACAUUAAGCAUUCCGCCUGGGGAGUACGGUCGCAAGACUGAAACUCAAAGGAAUUGACGGGGACCCGCACAAGCAGUGGAGUAUGUGGUUUAAUUCGAAGCAACGCGAAGAACCUUACCAGGUCUUGACAUCCCUCUGACCGGUCUAGAGAUAGACCUUUCCUUCGGGACAGAGGAGACAGGUGGUGCAUGGUUGUCGUCAGCUCGUGUCGUGAGAUGCUGGGUUAAGUCCCGCAACGAGCGCAACCCUUGAUUUUAGUUGCCAGCACUUCGGGUGGGCACUCUAGAAUGACUGCCGGUGACAAACCGGAGGAAGGCGGGGAUGACGUCAAAUCAUCAUGCCCCUUAUGACCUGGGCUACACACGUACUACAAUGGCCAGUACAACGGGAAGCAAAGUCGCGAGAUGGAGCCAAUCCUAUCAAAGCUGGUCUCAGUUCGGAUUGCAGG